AACGAACGCUGGCGGCAUGCCUAACACAUGCAAGUCGAACGAGACCUUCGGGCCUAGUGGCGCACGGGUGCGUAACGCGUGGGAACCUGCCCUUAGGUUCGGAAUAACUCCCCGAAAGGGGUGUUAAUACCGCUUAAUGUCUUCGGACCAAAGAUUUAUUGCUUUUGGAUGGGCCCGGGUUGGAUUAGCCAGUUGGUAGGGUAAAAGCCUACCAAGGCGACGUUCCAUAGCUGGUCGGAGAGGAUGACCAGCCACACUGGGACUGAGACACGGCCCAGACUCCUACGGGAGGCAGCAGUGGAGAGUAUUGGACGAUGAGCGAAAGCGUGAUCCAGCAGUGCCGGGUGAGUGGUGAAGGCCUUAGGGUUGUAAAGCUCUUUUACCCGAGAUGAUAAUGACAGUACCGGGAGAAUAAGCACCGGCUAACUACGUG
RNAcentral lists this ribosomal RNA (433 nucleotides) under uncultured bacterium. RNAcentral describes it as "partial 16S ribosomal RNA". It matches the Rfam family "Bacterial small subunit ribosomal RNA", at positions 29 to 507 of the family's 1533-position model. The record is from RNAcentral.